Molecule: transfer RNA, 75 nt
Filed under: Rhodogorgon sp.
Lineage: Eukaryota; Rhodophyta; Florideophyceae; Rhodogorgonales; Rhodogorgonaceae
Description: tRNA-Arg
Rfam family: tRNA
About the family: Transfer RNA (tRNA) molecules are approximately 80 nucleotides in length. Their secondary structure includes four short double-helical elements and three loops (D, anti-codon, and T loops).
Source: RNAcentral
UGAGCAUGUAGCUCAGUGGAUAGAGCAUCAGAUUCCGAUUCUGGCGGUCGAAGGUUCAAAUCCUUCCCUGCUCAU